Non-coding RNA from Sturnus vulgaris (Common starling), 375 nucleotides. The record is from RefSeq and is a predicted model, not a curated record. NCBI's taxonomy places the organism in Eukaryota, Metazoa, Chordata, Aves, Passeriformes, Sturnidae.
UCCUGGGGACUAGAUUUGCUGGUGACAAGCAGCACCUCUAGAUGUAAACUUGCACAUGGAGGGCAGCAGACUGUGCUUCACAGCUGGCUCCCUAAGGAGUCUCAGCAGCUGAGUUCCUUCUGACACUCGUGUGGGGGGAUUUCUAACAUUUCUGUUCCAUGUCCCCAACUCAGCUCCUGUGUCCAGUGAAAAGGAAGUGUACACAUAUGAGAAAUGGUUGCUUUUCUCCAGGCAAGCACGUGAAUUUUAGAACUGGAAGAAAGAAAUGUCCUGACCCACCUGGACCGAUUUGGGUCUCAGGAGGCACCCGGGAGCCACCUUCUGUGUCCUGGGUGUGGCCGUGGCUAUAAAAGGGCUCUGCUGAAAGGAUGAGGU